CCGUAAUCUGUAAAGCAGACCCGAGAACAUGUUUAAAUGAAUUCGUGGACGUGAUGUCGGACGCCCUUGCGUCCAACAUCAUGGCCUCCGACCACCAAACGGCUCUAGUCGCUUGGGGGUACUAACCUCUCGGCGCGGCAAGCGCCAAGGAAAACGAAACAGAUCGCCUCCGCAUGCGGGGUGGUACCCAACAUGUGGAGGAGAGCAUCUACUCAAAAUAAGUCACACAACGACUCUCGGCAACGGAUAUCUCGGCUCUCGCAUCGAUGAAGAACGUAGCGAAAUGCGAUACUUGGUGUGAAUUGCAGAAUCCCGUGAACCAUCGAGUCUUUGAACGCAAGUUGCGCCCAAAGCCAUCAGGCUGAGGGCACGUCUGCCUGGGCGUCACGCAACUCGUCGCCCCCCCCAACAUCAUCCUUCCCACGUAUUGUCGGGGGUGAUGCAUGAAGCGUGGGGGUGGAGAUUGGCCUCCCGUUACCCGAGUGUGGCGGCCGGCCCAAAUAGUAAGCCGUGUCGAUGGAUGUCGCACGAUACGUGGUGGUUGGAUUGCUCAACUCGAGAACUGUCGUGCGGACCAUCGACCCACGGGCACGACCCAACGGCAUCAACUAAAAAAUGCCUACGACUGUA
Molecule: ribosomal RNA, 630 nt
Filed under: Paraboea sp. 4a CP-2011
Lineage: Eukaryota; Viridiplantae; Streptophyta; Magnoliopsida; Lamiales; Gesneriaceae
Also listed under: 1 other name
Description: eukaryotic LSU rRNA
Rfam family: 5.8S ribosomal RNA (bases 232-387)
Source: RNAcentral